UGGGAUUCUUUGGAAAAGGAGGCUGCCGCUUGCAGAGAUGUGGACUCGAGUCACAAAUAUGAUGACUUGCAACUCGACUUUGACUUUAACACCAAUGACUCGUGACUUGACUUGAGCCUUAUGACUCGACCUGACUUGAUACCCUCCCCAAGCCCAAAUAUAAAAAAUGAUGCUAUUAAAAAAAGUGUGGAGCGCAUCAAAUCUUCAUUUAACGGAUUAAAGUUUGAAUCGGACAGCAGCCAAUCAAAUUGUGCCAGCGGAGAAAAAGUUAUGCGUGGCAGUGCAGAGGAACGUCAGCGGGUGAAUUCAGAUUGAGCCAUUGGAAAGAUAAUACCCAAAUUAUUAUUUUCGGAUAUACAGAAUACGCUGUAGUCAACAAAAAACGGAUUGCAACUUGCAAAACAAGCGGGAAGAAAAUUACAGAUGGAGGUGCGACAACUUCCAACUUUGUUCUACAUUUGAAGCUGCACAAAGGACGAUUUGAACAAUACCAGAUGAACAAAAGUGUCACAAGUGAACCACAACAAUCUCCAAUCUCACAUUUCAUGGAGACCCGUGUAGGGCAGUACAGCAUGAAUCAUCCAAAGCUAUCAACAAUGCAAUACUGUCCGACCUGGUUAUCGAUUGGAACUUGACUCUGUAUAUUGUGGAAAACAAGAGUUUUCGUCACAUUCUGUCAGUGGUUGACAGUAAGUACAGCCCAUUGUGUCGUAGAACAUUGACAUCAAAAGUUGAGAACCUCCCUACAGAGAGAUGUUCAAAACUGAAAUCUCAGUUGAGCAACACAGAUCAUGUUUCAGUCACAGUGAACAUUUGGUCUGACCAAAGGAUGACGGGGUUCCUUGGUGUCACUGUGCACUGUAUGGAGAGAGGACACAGCUCAAGUCCAAUCUCUUGGCCUGUGUCCGCUUCAAAGGCCCACACACGGCCGAAAGAAUCUGUGAGCAAUUUGAAGCCAUAUGUGGUGAGUACAGCGUUAAAGAUAAAUUAGACUAUAUCAUUAGUGACAAUGCUCCCAACAUGAGAAAAGCAUUCAUGGUGUGCUUCCCCAUUGAACAAGAAGAUGAAGUACAUGACGAAGAUCACCUUGAUGACCCAGAGCUCUGGAAUGACCUAACCCUGGAAGACCAGCAAAUAGUGGAUGCUGCUAUUGCAAAAAAGCAGCACUUGCAGUGUUUUGCCCACACUCUCCAGCUGGUGGUGGGAGAUGGCUUGAAAGAAACAAAAGUGAUGACUCCUCUUUCAAAGUUAUCAAAAAUCAGCUCACUGCUACAUACAAGCACAACAUCCAAAGAGGUGUUUGAGGCUGAAUUUGGGGAAAGAGGCAUCCCUGCUGCUGUCAACACAAGAUGGAACUCAACACUGAGACAAGUGAAGGCAGUUAUACCAAUGUGCUCAUCGAAAGCUCAGUCAUGUUCAAGAAAGGGCUGGGCACAAGGAGUUGUUGUUCACAGUACGGGAGUGGAAAAGUUGAAGGAGUUGGUGGACAUCCUGAGGCCAAUUGGAGAAGCAACAGAUAUGACACGGGGAGAAGAUAGUCACAGUCAGUUCUGUUGUUCCCUCGGUCCUGUCCCUGAAUCACCACCUGGAGCAGCGGAAGCCUCAAGUCCAUUUCCUGAGCGGCAUGGUCAGAAGUCUCCAGGCAUCCCUGAACAAAAGAUUUCUUGGAAUCUUCAUCAAUGUGAAGAUGGCCAGGACACAAGAUGGAAUCGCUGCCCCCUUUUCAGAUCCAGUCUACCUCAAAGCAGCUGCCUUGGAUCUGUCUUUUUCUCUGAUGUGGGUGGAGCACCAUGUGCUGGUCAAGGAGGAGGUGGCACAAAGAGUGAAAGAACUGAUUCUGCAAGAUGCUACAGGGACUGAGCAAGCUGUGCCUCUUGUUGAUGAGGAAGAGCGAGAGGACCAUAGUCUUGGACAAGAAGAAGGGCUGUUUGCAGCAUACUGUAAAAAGCUGUUGAUACCACUCCAGCACUACCGCUAAGUCACUACCUUGACAUAUGCGAAGGACAGAAUGCCCUCUUGUUCUGGGCAAUGAACAGGAAGGCUCUUCCUUCGCUCUCCCGAGUGGCCAUCAGACUUGGCAGUGCCUGCCUCCAGUGCUCCGGUGGAGCGUGUCUUCAGCCAUGGUGGCAUCAUUCUGUGGCCUCAUCGUGCACAAAUGUCUGACUGACUUUUAGCUAAUUUGGUCUUUUGCAAAUGCAAUGCAUCAUAGGGCCCUGAGAUAAGAGAAAAAAUUAAACUGUUUAUGCAUUACACACACACACACGUAGUCUCCAUGUUCAGGUUUUAUCUCCCAUCUUUGGGAUCUGUAUUUUUUUCUCAGACAUUCAGGCCGGCGUUCAAAUUGUUGGCCUACUUGAAGUUCAGUGUCAGUUGUUUGAUGUACCUUUUAAUAAAUGAUUGUAACUUUAUGGCAGGAUUGUUUUACGUGUCUAGAGUAUAUCUGGAGAGCGAGAGAGAGAGCACUACAAUAUUUAGGUUUUGUUGUCAUAUUGAUGUGUCUUUCUCAUGGCUACCCAUGUACUUCCAUGGAAAUAUAAAGUUUAUUUGGAAAGUAAUAAAUAUAUCAUUUUAAAAGCAUUUAUGAUUUGAGUAAAUUUAAUAUAUUAUUACUCUUGUUAAAUAUGAAAUGGUAUCACAUUUGGUGAAGAGCACAUUGUGACUUGUUUAGGACUCGAAACUCAAAGUUUAGGACUUGAGACUUGACUCGGACUUGCCUGUCUUGACUUGAGUGCUAAGACUUGAGACUUACUUGUGACUUGUAAAACAAUGACUUUGUCCCAUCUCUGGCCGCUUGCAUGAUCCCAUGUGUCUUCUUGAACUCUUGAGUUUAACUCAGUAAUCUGUCUGUCUAGAAUAUUGUUCCAAAAUUGCCUCAGGUCACUGUCACUCUUUGAUGCUGGAUGUUUUCCCUAAUGAAGUUGUGACUACACUGUCUGCCAAUUUUACAGGCAGUUUUCGCUGCCGUGAUGCGCUCA
This is a long non-coding RNA of Oncorhynchus kisutch (coho salmon), 2975 nucleotides long. RefSeq lists it as uncharacterized. The record is from RefSeq and is a predicted model, not a curated record. The transcript has 3 exons. Lineage: Eukaryota; Metazoa; Chordata; Actinopteri; Salmoniformes; Salmonidae.